Molecule: long non-coding RNA, 93 nt
Organism: Pomacea canaliculata
Lineage: Eukaryota; Metazoa; Mollusca; Gastropoda; Architaenioglossa; Ampullariidae
Exons: 3
Source: RefSeq, a predicted model, not a curated record
GUUGUCAUGUUGGUCUUGUGGACUGAGAACUCGCGGCCUCUUGUCUUUCCUCAGGUGAAAGUGGUGACUGCAAUGGUCGCAGCUAGUCGGUGA